AAGAGUGUAGUAUAAUAGGAUAGUAUAGUGAUCUCCAAAAUCACUUGUAGGUGUUCGAGUCACCUCGCUCUUG
This 73-nucleotide transfer RNA is filed under the name Termitomyces sp. RNAcentral's name for it is "tRNA-Trp". It matches the Rfam family "tRNA". From Rfam's summary of the family: Transfer RNA (tRNA) molecules are approximately 80 nucleotides in length. Their secondary structure includes four short double-helical elements and three loops (D, anti-codon, and T loops). Further hydrogen bonds mediate the characteristic L-shaped molecular structure. tRNAs have two regions of fundamental functional importance: the anti-codon, which is responsible for specific mRNA codon recognition, and the 3' end, to which the tRNAs corresponding amino acid is attached (by aminoacyl-tRNA synthetases). tRNAs cope with the degeneracy of the genetic code in two manners: having more than one tRNA (with a specific anti-codon) for a particular amino acid; and 'wobble' base-pairing, i.e. permitting non-standard base-pairing at the 3rd anti-codon position. The record is from RNAcentral. Lineage: Eukaryota; Fungi; Basidiomycota; Agaricomycetes; Agaricales; Lyophyllaceae.